Molecule: microRNA, 25 nt
Filed under: Meleagrid alphaherpesvirus 1 (Turkey herpesvirus)
Lineage: Duplodnaviria; Heunggongvirae; Peploviricota; Herviviricetes; Herpesvirales; Orthoherpesviridae
Description: hvt-miR-H14-5p
Gene: hvt-miR-H14-5p
Source: miRBase by way of RNAcentral
UCAUUCAGCGGGCAAUGUAGACUGU